This 301-nucleotide ribosomal RNA is filed under the name uncultured bacterium. Its description in RNAcentral is "partial 16S ribosomal RNA". It matches the Rfam family "Bacterial small subunit ribosomal RNA", at positions 509 to 807 of the family's 1533-position model. The record is from RNAcentral.
CAGUAGCCGCGGUAAUACAGAGGGUGCGAGCGUUAAUCGGAUUUACUGGGCGUAAAGCGUGCGUAGGCGGCUUUUUAAGUCGGAUGUGAAAUCCCUGAGCUUAACUUAGGAAUUGCAUUCGAUACUGGGAAGUUAGAGUAUGGGAGAGGAUGGUAGAAUUCCAGGUGUAGCGGUGAAAUGCGUAGAGAUCUGGAGGAAUACCGAUGGCGAAGGCAGCCAUCUGGCCUAAUACUGACGCUGAGGUACGAAAGCAUGGGGAGCAAACAGGAUUAGAUACCCGCGUAGUCCCUGUCUCUUAUAC